GUUAUAGAAAAGAAUUAACGGCUAAAAAUCUGAACGGAAUAAUUCAUUAUAUUCUACUGCAAUCAAUGUAAGAUUUCUUAAACUUUAUAUGUGUUUAUUUACAUUGUUUUAGAAACUCAUAUUAGGAUAUUAAACAAUCGGUAGUAAAUUUAAAUCCUGGUAAAAUAAUUCCAACAAAAAGGAGGAAGAAAAGUCAUACAAUGAUUCCUGUUCUCUUUGAUGGAUUCAUGACCAAAAUUAUAAGGAAUGGAAACUCCAAAAUAAUACCAAAUUUCACAAGUAUUAUAUUUUCUGAAACAUCCUCAUCAUUAUUAUAUACGGGUAUAAAAUGGGGUAUUCACAUGAGUUAAUUUUGUAACAAGUGUAAAAUAUCAUUUUCAAACUUACCUUUAUUUUCGUGCAUCAUUCCCUCGAUAGUACAUGGGAGAAAUAACAACAAGAUGGCCUUUGUUCGACGGAGUCGGAGAAAGAGCAAGGAGAUGCUCUUUGUUCGUCGGAGUCGGAGAAAGAGCAAAGAGAUGCCCUUUGUUCGCCGGAGUCGGAGAAAGAGCAAGGAGAUGCCCUUUGUUCCUCGGAGCAGGGCCGGCCAGAGGACGGCCCUGCCUCGGAGUCGGAGCAAGAGCAAAGAGAUGCCCUUUGUUCGCCAGAGUCGGAGAAAGAGCAAGGAAAUGCCCUUAGUUAGCCGGAGUCGGAGCAAGAGCAAAGAGAUGCCCUUUGUUCGCCGGUGUCGGAGCAAGAACAAGGAGAUGCCCUUUGUUCGCCGGAGUCGGAGAAAGAGGAAGAGACCCUUCCAUGGCAAGUCGAUCGAUUAUUUUUAAAGAAACAAACAAAUGAACCGGGUGUAACCGGUAUAGCUAAGCAGAAGAGACAUUAAUACCCAAAUUUUAUUACUUUUAAAAAAUAUCUACCAUUGAUUUAAAUCUAAUGGUCUUUAUUAAAUAAACACGUCCAUCCUAAUUUUUUUUUUACUGGUCUUUAGCCAGGCCCGUCUAUUGUAUUAUAUUUGUAUGUACAUAUAUAUAAUAAGAUUUCAGUAAAUAAAUAAUUUGUUUAAUUUGCAAAUAAAUGCUUUCCUGUUUUUGUUUUCGCUGCAUCGUUUUUGUUUUCUUCCAUAAAAUUAUGGUCACUCCCAAAUCCCAAGCACAGAUCAUAGAAACCCUUUCAUGCAAAGCCAGAGAAGAACUCAUAAACAAAUAAAACAAACAGUCACAAGAAAAUGCCUUAUAUUAAUCUCAAAGCUAAAUUAAACACACAACAAAAAAUGCCCCAAGGGCACUUUUCAUUAUUACUGAAACAAACCACACCACACCAAGCUACUACAUGCUUUACCAAGCUACUACAUGCUUUGUGAGACUAAGCGCCAAGGACACUUUCUAUUAUUACUAAAACAAACCACACCACACCACACCAAGCUACUACAUGCUUCGUGAGACUCAGCGCUAAUGGCACUUUUUAUUAAUUAUAUCUUAUGAGGCGUUUUGUUGAACAUCUAGCGCCAAACCAGGGGUAACACAACGUCCCCCCCGCUCCCUAGAGUUGCAAUGCAUCGGGUAGCAGCAGGGACUUGACAAAAGAGCGCAAGGAGAACCAGCUUGUAGACAGUAUGGAUCAUCGACACAUCUCCGAUUCUCACCCCAUCCCCACUCACCUUCACAUUGUAGUCCUUCACAACAAUACUUGUCUUGUGCCCAAUGACAAUAUUCACCAGGUACCCUACACCUGUUAGGUACCAUAUUCAGAUGAAUAUCCGGUUGUAGUCGACCAAAGCACCCCACAACCAUCACACCCACUACCAACGCCAUUACCAUAAACUUCUUCAUCAUUCUUUUCUUACUCUCCUAUACUUUCGGUAGCUAAUUGAUAUUUUUAUUUUUUUUGUAAUUAGUUUACAC
Cannabis sativa is the source of this 1892-nucleotide RNA transcript. RefSeq lists it as uncharacterized. The record is from RefSeq and is a predicted model, not a curated record. Lineage: Eukaryota; Viridiplantae; Streptophyta; Magnoliopsida; Rosales; Cannabaceae. The transcript has 3 exons.